GGUUAAGCGACUAAGCGUACACGGUGGAUGCCCUGGCAGUCAGAGGCGAUGAAGGGCGUACUAAUCUGCGAUAAGCGCCGGUAAGGUGAUAUGAACCGUUAUAACCGGCGAUACCCGAAUGGGGAAACCCAGUGUGAUUCGUCACACUAUCAUUAACUGAAUCCAUAGGUUAAUGAGGCGAACCGGGGGAACUGAAACAUCUAAGUACCCCGAGGAAAAGAAAUCAACCGAGAUUCCCCCAGUAGCGGCGAGCGAACGGGGAGGAGCCCAGAGCCUGAAUCAGCAUGUGUGUUAGUGGAAGCGUCUGGAAAGGCGCGCGAUACAGGGUGACAGCCCCGUACACAAAAGCGCAUGUGCUGUGAGCUCGAUGAGUAGGGCGGGACACGUGGUAUCCUGUCUGAAUAUGGGGGGACCAUCCUCCAAGGCUAAAUACUCCUGACUGACCGAUAGUGAACCAGUACCGUGAGGGAAAGGCGAAAAGAACCCCGGCGAGGGGAGUGAAAAAGAACCUGAAACCGUGUACGUACAAGCAGUGGGAGCACCCUUUGGGUGUGACUGCGUACCUUUUGUAUAAUGGGUCAGCGACUUAUAUUCUGUAGCAAGGUUAACCGAAUAGGGGAGCCGGAGGGAAACCGAGUCUUAACCGGGCGUUAAGUUGCAGGGUAUAGACCCGAAACCCGGUGAUCUAGCCAUGGGCAGGUUGAAGGUUGGGUAACACUAACUGGAGGACCGAACCGACUAAUGUUGAAAAAUUAGCGGAUGACCUGUGGCUGGGGGUGAAAGGCCAAUCAAACCGGGAGAUAGCUGGUUCUCCCCGAAAGCUAUUUAGGUAGCGCCUCGUGAAUUCAUCUCCGGGGGUAGAGCACUGUUUCGGCUAGGGGGCCAUCCCGGCUUACCAACCCGAUGCAAACUGCGAAUACCGGAGAAUGUUAUCACGGGAGACACACGGCGGGUGCUAACGUCCGUCGUGAAGAGGGAAACAACCCAGACCGCCAGCUAAGGUCCCAAAGUCAUGGUUAAGUGGGAAACGAUGUGGGAAGGCCCAGACAGCCAGGAUGUUGGCUUAGAAGCAGCCAUCAUUUAAAGAAAGCGUAAUAGCUCACUGGUCGAGUCGGCCUGCGCGGAAGAUGUAACGGGGCUAAACCAUGCACCGAAGCUGCGGCAGCGACACUGUGUGUUGUUGGGUAGGGGAGCGUUCUGUAAGCCUGUGAAGGUGUGUCGUGAGGCAUGCUGGAGGUAUCAGAAGUGCGAAUGCUGACAUAAGUAACGAUAAAGCGGGUGAAAAGCCCGCUCGCCGGAAGACCAAGGGUUCCUGUCCAACGUUAAUCGGGGCAGGGUGAGUCGACCCCUAAGGCGAGGCCGAAAGGCGUAGUCGAUGGGAAACGGGUUAAUAUUCCCGUACUUGGUGUUACUGCGAAGGGGGGACGGAGAAGGCUAUGUUGGCCGGGCGACGGUUGUCCCGGUUUAAGCGUGUAGGUGUGUGUUCCAGGUAAAUCCGGUUCACUUUAACACUGAGGCGUGACGACGAGGCACUACGGUGCUGAAGCAACAAAUGCCCUGCUUCCAGGAAAAGCCUCUAAGCAUCAGGUAACAUCAAAUCGUACCCCAAACCGACACAGGUGGUCAGGUAGAGAAUACCAAGGCGCUUGAGAGAACUCGGGUGAAGGAACUAGGCAAAAUGGUGCCGUAACUUCGGGAGAAGGCACGCUGACACGUAGGUGAAGUGAUUUACUCAUGGAGCUGAAGUCAGUCGAAGAUACCAGCUGGCUGCAACUGUUUAUUAAAAACACAGCACUGUGCAAACACGAAAGUGGACGUAUACGGUGUGACGCCUGCCCGGUGCCGGAAGGUUAAUUGAUGGGGUCAGCGCAAGCGAAGCUCCUGAUCGAAGCCCCGGUAAACGGCGGCCGUAACUAUAACGGUCCUAAGGUAGCGAAAUUCCUUGUCGGGUAAGUUCCGACCUGCACGAAUGGCGUAAUGAUGGCCAGGCUGUCUCCACCCGAGACUCAGUGAAAUUGAACUCGCUGUGAAGAUGCAGUGUACCCGCGGCAAGACGGAAAGACCCCGUGAACCUUUACUAUAGCUUGACACUGAACAUUGAGCCUUGAUGUGUAGGAUAGGUGGGAGGCUUUGAAGUGUGGACGCCAGUCUGCAUGGAGCCGACCUUGAAAUACCACCCUUUAAUGUUUGAUGUUCUAACGUGGACCCGUUACCCGGGUUGCGGACAGUGUCUGGUGGGUAGUUUGACUGGGGCGGUCUCCUCCUAAAGAGUAACGGAGGAGCACGAAGGUUGGCUAAUCCUGGUCGGACAUCAGGAGGUUAGUGCAAUGGCAUAAGCCAGCUUGACUGCGAGCGUGACGGCGCGAGCAGGUGCGAAAGCAGGUCAUAGUGAUCCGGUGGUUCUGAAUGGAAGGGCCAUCGCUCAACGGAUAAAAGGUACUCCGGGGAUAACAGGCUGAUACCGCCCAAGAGUUCAUAUCGACGGCGGUGUUUGGCACCUCGAUGUCGGCUCAUCACAUCCUGGGGCUGAAGUAGGUCCCAAGGGUAUGGCUGUUCGCCAUUUAAAGUGGUACGCGAGCUGGGUUUAGAACGUCGUGAGACAGUUCGGUCCCUAUCUGCCGUGGGCGCUGGAGAACUGAGGGGGGCUGCUCCUAGUACGAGAGGACCGGAGUGGACGCAUCACUGGUGUUCGGGUUGUCAUGCCAAUGGCACUGCCCGGUAGCUAAAUGCGGAAGAGAUAAGUGCUGAAAGCAUCUAAGCACGAAACUUGCCCCGA
RNAcentral lists this ribosomal RNA (2776 nucleotides) under Salmonella enterica. RNAcentral describes it as "partial 23S ribosomal RNA". It matches the Rfam family "Bacterial large subunit ribosomal RNA". The record is from RNAcentral. RNAcentral also lists the same sequence under 1 other name. Lineage: Bacteria; Pseudomonadati; Pseudomonadota; Gammaproteobacteria; Enterobacterales; Enterobacteriaceae.